This 253-nucleotide ribosomal RNA is filed under the name uncultured prokaryote. Its description in RNAcentral is "partial 16S ribosomal RNA". It matches the Rfam family "Bacterial small subunit ribosomal RNA", at positions 524 to 776 of the family's 1533-position model. The record is from RNAcentral.
UACAGAGGUCUCAAGCGUUGUUCGGAUUCAUUGGGCGUAAAGGGCGCGUAGGCGGUCUGCUAAGUUGGAUGUGAAAACUCUGGGCUUAACCCAGAGCCUGCAUUCAAUACUGACAGGCUAGAGUUCUGGAGGGGAUAGCGGAAUUCCUGGUGUAGCGGUGAAAUGCGUAGAUAUCAGGAGGAACACCGGUGGCGAAGGCGGCUAUCUGGACAGAGUCUGACGCUGAGGCGCGAAAGCUAGGGGAGCAAACAGG